UACCCCUAGCAAAUCUCAAAAAACCGAUCGUAGUCCAGAUUGGAGUCUGCAACUCGACUCCAUGAAGUCGGAAUCGCUAGUAAUCGCGGAUCAGAAUGCCGCGGUGAAUACGUUCCCGGGCCUUGUACACACCGCCCGUCACACCAUGGGAGUCUAUUGCACCAGAAGUAGCUAGCUUAACCUUCGGGAGGGCGGUUACCACGGUGUGGUCAGCGACGGGGGAAG
RNAcentral lists this ribosomal RNA (225 nucleotides) under uncultured Nitrobacter sp. RNAcentral describes it as "partial 16S ribosomal RNA". It matches the Rfam family "Bacterial small subunit ribosomal RNA", at positions 1259 to 1485 of the family's 1533-position model. The record is from RNAcentral. Lineage: Bacteria; Pseudomonadati; Pseudomonadota; Alphaproteobacteria; Hyphomicrobiales; Nitrobacteraceae.